CCAAUAGCGUAUAUUAAAGUUGUUGCAGUUAAAAAGCUCGUAGUUGAAUUUCGGGGUCAGUAGGUUGGUCGUGCCACUGGUAUGUACUGGUCUCACUGAUUCCUCCCUCUUGUAGAACCGUAAUGCCAUUAAGUUGGUGUUGCGGGGAAACAGGACUGUUACUUUGAAAAAAUUAGAGUGUUUAAAGCAAGCUAACGCUUGAAUACAUUAGCAUGGAAUAAUGAAAUAGGACGUUCGAUCCUAUUUUGUUGGUUUCUAGGAUUGACGUAAUGAUUAAUAGGGAUAGUUGGGGGCAUUAGUAUUCAAUUGUCAGAGGUGAAAUUCUUGGAUUUAUUGAAGACUAACUACUGCGAAAGCAUUUGCCAAGGAUGUUUUCAUUAAUCAAGAACGAAAGUUAGGGGAUCGAAGACGAUCAGAUACCGUCGUAGUCUUAACCAUAAACUAUGCCGACUAGGGAUCGGAUGAUGUUAAUUUUAUAAUGACUCAUUCGGCGCCUUACG
RNAcentral lists this ribosomal RNA (500 nucleotides) under uncultured Glomeromycotina. RNAcentral's name for it is "partial small subunit ribosomal RNA". It matches the Rfam family "Eukaryotic small subunit ribosomal RNA", at positions 591 to 1092 of the family's 1831-position model. The record is from RNAcentral. Lineage: Eukaryota; Fungi; Glomeromycota.